AUCACCUGGGGACCUUGUUAAAAUGCAGAUUCUGAUUCAGUAGAUCUGGGAGGGGCUUAAAAAUCUACAUUUCUAACAAGCUUCCAGGUGAUAAUAC
Molecule: microRNA precursor, 97 nt
Filed under: Ursus americanus (American black bear)
Lineage: Eukaryota; Metazoa; Chordata; Mammalia; Carnivora; Ursidae
Also listed under: 2 other names
Description: mir-544 microRNA precursor family
Rfam family: mir-544 microRNA precursor family
Source: Rfam by way of RNAcentral